Molecule: ribosomal RNA, 1344 nt
Filed under: uncultured bacterium
Lineage: Bacteria
Description: 16S ribosomal RNA
Rfam family: Bacterial small subunit ribosomal RNA
Source: RNAcentral
GACGAACGCUGGCGGCGUGCUUAACACAUGCAAGUCGAACGGAAAGGCCCUGCUUUUGUGGGGUGCUCGAGUGGCGAACGGGUGAGUAACACGUGAGUAACCUGCCCUUGACUUUGGGAUAACUUCAGGAAACUGGGGCUAAUACCGGAUAGGAGCUCCUGCUGCAUGGUGGGGGUUGGAAAGUUUCGGCGGUUGGGGAUGGACUCGCGGCUUAUCAGCUUGUUGGUGGGGUAGUGGCUUACCAAGGCUUUGACGGGUAGCCGGCCUGAGAGGGUGACCGGCCACAUUGGGACUGAGAUACGGCCCAGACUCCUACGGGAGGCAGCAGUGGGGAAUAUUGCACAAUGGGCGGAAGCCUGAUGCAGCAACGCCGCGUGCGGGAUGACGGCCUUCGGGUUGUAAACCGCUUUCGCCUGUGACGAAGCGUGAGUGACGGUAAUGGGUAAAGAAGCACCGGCUAACUACGUGCCAGCAGCCGCGGUGAUACGUAGGGUGCGAGCGUUGUCCGGAUUUAUUGGGCGUAAAGGGCUCGUAGGUGGUUGAUCGCGUCGGAAGUGUAAUCUUGGGGCUUAACCCUGAGCGUGCUUUCGAUACGGGUUGACUUGAGGAAAGAUAGGGGAGAAUGGAAUUCCUGGUGGAGCGGUGGAAUGCGCAGAUAUCAGGAGGAACACCAGUGGCGAAGGCGGUUCUCUGGGCCUUUCCUGACGCUGAGGAGCGAAAGCGUGGGGAGCGAACAGGCUUAGAUACCCUGGUAGUCCACGCUGUAAACGGUGGGUACUAGGUGUGGGGUCCAUUCCACGGGUUCCGUGCCGUAGCUAACGCUUUAAGUACCCCGCCUGGGGAGUACGGCCGCAAGGCUAAAACUCAAAGGAAUUGACGGGGCCCCGCACAAGCGGCGGAGCAUGCGGAUUAAUUCGAUGCAACGCGUAGAACCUUACCUGGGUUUGACAUGGAUCGGGAGUGCUCAGAGAUGGGUGUGCCUCUUUUGGGGUCGGUUCACAGGUGGUGCAUGCCUGUCGUCAGCUCGUGUCGUGAGAUGUUGGGUUAAGUCCCGCAACGAGCGCAACCCUUGUUCACUGUUGCCAGCACGUUAUGGUGGGGACUCAGUGGAGACCGCCGGGGUCAACUCGGAGGAAGGUGGGGAUGACGUCAAGUCAUCAUGCCCCUUAUGUCCAGGGCUUCACGCAUGCUACAAUGGCUGGUACAGAGAGUGGCGAGCCUGUGAGGGUGAGCGAAUCUCGGAAAGCCGGUCUCAGUUCGGAUUGGGGUCUGCAACUCGACCUCAUGAAGUCGGAGUCGCUAGUAAUCGCAGAUCAGCAACGCUGCGGUGAAUACGUUCCCGGG